This 2107-nucleotide unclassified non-coding RNA is filed under the name Venturia canescens. RNAcentral's name for it is "titin-like, transcript variant X1". Lineage: Eukaryota; Metazoa; Arthropoda; Insecta; Hymenoptera; Ichneumonidae. The record is from RNAcentral.
CCUGUUUUCGUUGACGUACGCGAGGCGUUGACUCUCGCAGCAAUCGCGAGAUAAUCCAUUACGUUAUAAAGUUGCGGCAAUUGGGCUGUUGAAUAGAGGAGAUAAGUGAUUCGCUCGCGGGUGUGUUAACGUGUUGGACAACUCGAGAUGUAGAACGUCAUGUCGGUGAUAAACCUCAAGUUCACAAAGUUCGAUAAUACGCCAUGGGGCUUUCGACUGGCGGGUGGAAGCGACUUUCCGCAGCCAUUGACCGUCAUCAAAGUGGCGGAAGGAAGUCUCGCGGAAUGCAUGGGCCUGAGAUUGGGUGACAUAGUGAUGAGUUUGAACGAUCGUCCUGUGAGCAGUUUGACACACGGUCAAGCCCACGAAGCUCUCGUCCUCGCUGGCAACAACUUCAGUUUAUCGGUUCUCAGACCGAUCGACUGUUCCGAGAGCGUCGAAGUUAUUCAACAAGAAAAUAUCGUCCCGUACACGAUACCCCUCGACCAACUGCCGCCUGUUUUCCCGGAAGAAAUUCUAACUGCACCCGUCGAAGAAUACAGCUUCGUGGAGGAAACGCGGGAGGAAACGGUCGAAGUGGUGCAAGAGGAAAUUCCCCCGAAGCCUGUCGACGCCAACAGCGAAGUUGUUCCCAACAAGAAUCUCACCGACGAGGAAAUCGCACAGUUGAUACUCGAAGAGGAGGAGUUGUUGAUUCCCGAUCAAGGAGUCUUGGGCGUCAACUUCAAGAAAAUUCGGCCCCGAGUCGAAAAGUUGAAACAAUCCAAAGUGUUGGAGGAAUUGCAAAAAAUCGCGGUCGAGGAUCCGCCGCGUGUGCAAGAGUUGAAGCACACUUCGACCUUCCUCCAGAAGCCCGAGCGUCCGCCACCCCCGUCGAAGAACGACCUCGACAAGCAGACGAGAGCGGAGGGCGAGCAGUACAGGGUGGUGAUAAAAAAGCAACAGAAGAAAAGUGUGACGGAGCGGCUGCUGGAGCGAGGACUAUUAGAGCCGCGCGAAGACACGGGAACGCCGGAGCCACCGAGCGAGAUAAAAACGCCGACUCUGACCCCGGAGCCAGGACGCUUGUCCCGCGAGGAAGUCCCCUCCGAAGCGGAGCGAAAGCCGGAACCCGAGGAAGAGGAUCGGGAGAGCGUUUGCGAAGAAACCGAAGAACCGAAGGUGCCAGAGAUCAGUGUCGAAGAGUCGAAAGACGAAGAGGAAAGUACUCCGGAGACAAUGAGCUGCCCCAGAAAUGCAAAUUUACCCCAGGUCCCGACCUUCGACAAGGAAAAAGUCAAGGAAUUGGUAUCCACUGAAAUCAGCCUCGAGAAACAACUCGAGGCCGUACAAAAUCAAUUACUCGCUCUUAAACAAUUGCCCAGCGAAAUUGAAAAUCAUCUGAGAAUAGUCUCCGAACAAUUGCACAAAAUAAUGGAAUUGAGCGGUGUACAGAACGGAGGUGAGCGCGGUGGACGCCGCAACUCGGCAGAAGAAGAGAGCAACGGGAGGGCAGAGGCUGAGGAAAGAUCGACGUGUAAAUCACCGGUCUCGCCAGUGGAAAACGAACACGAAGACAAAGACGAGCAUCUGCAAGCCUCGGAGCCCGAAAUAAGAGAAUCCCCGUCGACGAUGAUGAGUGACGAGCCACCAAUAAUUAUCGAGCCUGAAGCUGACGAAGACGAGCCUGCCGAGACGAAAGAAUUGGGCGAAGUCAACGUUAAAAGCACCGUCGAAGAAGAGGGCCAUGUCAAAAAAUGUAUCGCAACUUAUCAGACGAAAGUCCUCAAGUCGCGAGAACCGAGUCCUGCUCCUUCUUACGCACAGAGGCGGAAGAAGACGCUCCAACGAUUUAUGGCCCCAGGCUAAACAGCUGGAGCUCACUUACGGACGAAGAUGGAGGUGUCCGAAUGAUUUUUUCAACGACGAGAUGAUAGCCGAGGUUUUAUCGUCUCAGGCGGAAGUUAUUCGCGGUCGAGCCAUGGGGGUGAACUUCAAGAAGUUUGAAAAAAAUUGGCUACCGAAUUACGAUCAUUUGAUGGGCUCGAGCGUCUACAAAAUGUUGCACAAAAUGGAACGAGAGCCGAAGACAGGAAUUCCGGCGAGACCGCCGAAGGUUAUCGCCGCU